RNAcentral lists this ribosomal RNA (290 nucleotides) under uncultured bacterium. Its description in RNAcentral is "partial 16S ribosomal RNA". It matches the Rfam family "Bacterial small subunit ribosomal RNA", at positions 775 to 1066 of the family's 1533-position model. The record is from RNAcentral.
GGAUUAGAUACCCUGGUAGUCCACGCCCUAAACGAUGAAUACUCGAUGUUUGCGAUAUACAGUAAGCGUCUAAGCGAAAGCGUUAAGUAUUCCACCUGGGGAGUACGUCCGCAAGGAUGAAACUCAAAGAAAUUGGCGGGGGUCCGCACAAGCGGUGGAUUAUGUGGUUUAAUUCGAUGAUACGCGAGGAACCUUACCAGGGCUAGAAUGUUAGUGGGAUAUAGAGGGAAACCUUUAUAGCUUUUCGGAGCUGCUAGCAAGGUGCUGCAUGGUUGUCGUCAGCUCGUGCC